Molecule: non-coding RNA, 300 nt
Organism: Otolemur garnettii (small-eared galago)
Lineage: Eukaryota; Metazoa; Chordata; Mammalia; Primates; Galagidae
Source: Rfam
GCUGAGUGUGCUAGAGUACACCUGUAGUCCCAGCUACACAGGAAGCUGAGGUGGGAAGAUUGGUUGAGCCCAGGAAUUCUGGGAUGUAGUGUGCUAUGCCACUGAUUAGGUGUCCACACUAAGUUUGGCAUCAAUAUGGUGACUUCCAGGCAACAGGGAACCACAAGGUUGCCUAAGAAGAGGUGACCCAGCCCACUCAGAAAAGAGCAGAUGGAAACACCUGUGCUGAUUAGUAGAGGGAUCUCACCUGUGAAUAGCCACGGCACUCCAGCCUGGGCACAGAGUGAGACUUUAUCUCUU